RNAcentral lists this ribosomal RNA (253 nucleotides) under uncultured bacterium. Its description in RNAcentral is "partial 16S ribosomal RNA". It matches the Rfam family "Bacterial small subunit ribosomal RNA", at positions 524 to 776 of the family's 1533-position model. The record is from RNAcentral.
UACGAAGGGUGCAAGCGUUAAUCGGAAUUACUGGGCGUAAAGGGUGCGUAGGCGGUUAUUUAAGUCUGCCGUGAAAUCCCCGGGCUCAACCUGGGAAUGGCGGUGGAUACUGGAUAGCUAGAGUGUGUCAGAGGAUGGUGGAAUUCCCGGUGUAGCGGUGAAAUGCGUAGAUAUCGAGAGGAACACCUGCGGCGAAGGCGGGUUGCUGGGCCGACACUGACGCUGAUGCGCGAAAGCCAGGGGAGCGAACGGG